Molecule: transfer RNA, 74 nt
Rfam family: tRNA
About the family: Transfer RNA (tRNA) molecules are approximately 80 nucleotides in length. Their secondary structure includes four short double-helical elements and three loops (D, anti-codon, and T loops).
Source: Rfam
CGCGGGAUGGAGCAGUCUGGUAGCUCGUCGGGCUCAUAACCCGAAGGUCGUAGGUUCAAAUCCUACUCCCGCAA